CCUACGGGUUGCAGCAGUAGGGAAUCUUCGGCAAUGGGGGCAACCCUGACCGAGCAACGCCGCGUGAGUGAAGAAGGUUUUCGGAUCGUAAAGCUCUGUUGUAAGUCAAGAACGGGUGUGAGAGUGGAAAGUUCACACUGUGACGGUAGCUUACCAGAAAGGGACGGCUAACUACGUGCCAGCAGCCGCGGUAAUACGUAGGUCCCGAGCGUUGUCCGGAUUUAUUGGGCGUAAAGCGAGCGCAGGCGGUUUGAUAAGUCUGAAGUUAAAGGCUGUGGCUCAACCAUAGUUCGCUUUGGAAACUGUCAAACUUGAGUGCAGAAGGGGAGAGUGGAAUUCCAUGUGUAGCGGUGAAAUGCGUAGAUAUAUGGAGGAACACCGGUGGCGAAAGCGGCUCUCUGGUCUGUAACUGACGCUGAGGCUCGAAAGCGUGGGGAGCGAACAGGAUUAGAUACCCUCGUAGUC
RNAcentral lists this ribosomal RNA (465 nucleotides) under uncultured bacterium. RNAcentral's name for it is "bacterial SSU rRNA". It matches the Rfam family "Bacterial small subunit ribosomal RNA", at positions 338 to 795 of the family's 1533-position model. The record is from RNAcentral.